This 454-nucleotide ribosomal RNA is filed under the name uncultured bacterium. Its description in RNAcentral is "bacterial SSU rRNA". It matches the Rfam family "Bacterial small subunit ribosomal RNA", at positions 28 to 495 of the family's 1533-position model. The record is from RNAcentral.
GACGAACGCUGGCGGCGCGCCUAACACAUGCAAGUCGAACGAGGGAGAGGAAGCUUGCUUCCUCAAUCGAGUGGCGAACGGGUGAGUAACGCGUGAGGAACCUACCUCAAAGAGGGGGACAACAGUUGGAAACGACUGCUAAUACCGCAUAAGCCCACAGGUCGGCAUCGACCAGAGGGAAAAGGAGCAAUCCGCUUUGAGAUGGCCUCGCGUCCGAUUAGCUAGUUGGUGAGGUAAUGGCCCACCAAGGCGACGAUCGGUAGCCGGACUGAGAGGUUGAACGGCCACAUUGGGACUGAGACACGGCCCAGACUCCUACGGGAGGCAGCAGUGGGGAAUAUUGCACAAUGGGGGAAACCCUGAUGCAGCGACGCCGCGUGGAGGAAGAAGGUCUUCGGAUUGUAAACUCCUGUUGUUGAGGAAGAUAAUGACGGUACUCGACAAGGAAGUGACG